This 452-nucleotide ribosomal RNA is filed under the name uncultured bacterium. RNAcentral describes it as "partial 16S ribosomal RNA". It matches the Rfam family "Bacterial small subunit ribosomal RNA", at positions 355 to 791 of the family's 1533-position model. The record is from RNAcentral.
UGGGGAAUUUUGGACAAUGGGCGCAAGCCUGAUCCAGCCAUGCCGCGUGCGGGAAGAAGGCCUUCGGGUUGUAAACCGCUUUUGUCAGGGAAGAAAUCUUCUGAGUUAAUACCUCGGGAGGAUGACGGUACCUGAAGAAUAAGCACCGGCUAACUACGUGCCAGCAGCCGUGGUAAAUACGUAGGGUGCAAGCGUUAAUCGGAAUUACUGGGCGUAAAGCGUGCGCAGGCGGUUUUGUAAGACAGAGGUGAAAUCCCCGGGCUCAACCUGGGAACUGCCUUUGUGACUGCAAGGCUUGAGUGCGGCAGAGGGGGGAUGGAAUUCCGCGUGUAGCAGUGAAAAUGCGUAGAUAUGCGGAGGAACACCGAUGGGAAGGCAAAUCCCCCUGGGCCUGCACUGACGCUCAUGCACGAAAAGCGUGGGGAGCAAAACAGGAUUAGAUAGCCCCUGGU